UGAGGAAUAUUGGUCAAUGGGCGCGAGCCUGAACCAGCCAAGUAGCGUGCAGGAUGACGGCCCUAUGGGUUGUAAACUGCUUUUAUGUGGGGAUAAAGUGAGCUACGUGUAGUUUAUUGCAGGUACCACAUGAAUAAGGACCGGCUAAUUCCGUGCCAGCAGUCGCGGUAAUACGGAAGGUCCAGGCGUUAUCCGGAUUUAUUGGGUUUAAAGGGAGCGUAGGCCGUGGAUUAAGCGUGUUGUGAAAUGUAGACGCUCAACGUCUGAAUUGCAGCGCGAACUGGUUCACUUGAGUAUGCGCAACGUAGGCGGAAUUCGUCGUGUAGCGGUGAAAUGCUUAGAUAUGACGAAGAACUCCGAUUGCGAAGGCAGCUUGCGGGAGCACAACUGACGCUGAAGCUCGAAGGUGCGGGUAUCAAACAGGAUUAGAUACCCUGGUAGUCCGCACAGUAAACGAUGGAUGCCCGUUGUUAGUUCACUUAGGAAUUAGCGACCAAGCGAAAGCAUUAAGCAUCCCACCUGGGGAGUACGCCGGCAACGGUG
This 543-nucleotide ribosomal RNA is filed under the name uncultured bacterium. Its description in RNAcentral is "bacterial SSU rRNA". It matches the Rfam family "Bacterial small subunit ribosomal RNA", at positions 355 to 896 of the family's 1533-position model. The record is from RNAcentral.